GUGACGUGGCUCGGUGUGUACGAAGGCAGAGGCUGGGUCCUGGUUGCUGCGGCGCUGGGAUCUACUAGGGUUCCCUGCUUCUGAUUUUCUUGUUUUGGGCUGUAUGAUAGUUGGGCUAGGUGUAAUUGGGUCUGUAAUUUGGGUUUGUAAUUUUUGCUAUUGGGUUGGGUUAAUCUGUAUUGGGCCUAGAGUCUAUAAAUGGACAUUUAAAAUGGACUAUUUUUUAUUUGUUUUUUAUUAUAUUUUUGUUUAUUUAUUUCUGAUUUGGGCCGGGCAAUAUUGGGUCAUUACAGUGUAAAAUGCAAAAGUUGCAUUCUACUUGUUAAAUGUAUUAAAUAGCUACGAAAUAUUAAAUUAGAGGUCCUUAUGUUGUAAUUAGACCAUAAUUAAAUUGAGUGGACAUUAAUGAGCAUAAUAUCAUGAAAUUUGAUGGUUUUUCAUUAAGGUUAAUUUAGUAAAAUGAUAAAUAACAUAAGUUAAAU
Molecule: long non-coding RNA, 482 nt
Filed under: Gossypium raimondii (Peruvian cotton)
Lineage: Eukaryota; Viridiplantae; Streptophyta; Magnoliopsida; Malvales; Malvaceae
Description: long non-coding RNA (GRAI_LNC009107)
Source: RNAcentral